ACUCCUACGGGAGGCAGCAGUGAGGAAUAUUGGUCAAUGGAGAGAACUCUGAACCAGCCAUCCCGCGUGUAGGAAGACGGCCUUAUGGGUUGUAAACUACUUUUAUACAGGAAGAAACGUACCCUCGUGAGGGUGCCUGACGGUACUGUAGGAAUAAGCACCGGCUAACUCCGUGCCAGCAGCCGCGGUAAUACGGAGGGGUGCGAGCGUUAUCCGGAUUUAUUGGGGUUUAAAGGGGUCCGUAGGCGGAUUAAUAAGUCAGUGGUGAAAUCCCAUCGCUUAACGAUGGAACUGCCAUUGAUACUGUUAGUCUUGAAUGAGGGUGCAGUGGUUGGAAUGUGUAGUGUAGCGGUGAAAUGCAUAGAUAUUACACAGAACACCGAUUGCGAAGGCAGAUCACUAACCCUAAAUUGACGCUGAGGGACGAAAGCGUGGGGAGCGAACAGGAUUAGAUACCCUGGUAGACUGUCA
This 471-nucleotide ribosomal RNA is filed under the name uncultured bacterium. RNAcentral's name for it is "bacterial SSU rRNA". It matches the Rfam family "Bacterial small subunit ribosomal RNA", at positions 335 to 802 of the family's 1533-position model. The record is from RNAcentral.